Molecule: long non-coding RNA, 359 nt
Organism: Ornithodoros turicata
Lineage: Eukaryota; Metazoa; Arthropoda; Arachnida; Ixodida; Argasidae
Exons: 3
Source: RefSeq, a predicted model, not a curated record
UGAGACGUACAAGAAACUUCAUGAUAUCCUGCUUGCAAAGGGCCUUCUCAAGGACAUUCCCCAGCUGUCAUCUGCACAGCAAACUUUCUGCUUGGAGACCUUCCAUGCCGUGCUCAUCCACUUUGCCCCAAAAGCAUACAGCUUCUCGGACAAAGGAAUGAUUGCUAGGACGGCUCUGGCUGCACUGCAUUACAAUGCAAAUGCAGAUCGUGUUGCACGCUCGGAGGACGGUGCUGUAAAACAUCGUCUGAAAGCCUCCAAGGUCCGAAAGACAUGGAUUGCGGUUCCUGUUAAAGAAGAUGCCUCAUACGCCUACACGGAGGCUCUGAAGACAGCGGUCUACGAGCGCAUUUCUCUCU